ACGGAUUGUCCAUCCGGUAACCGCGAUAAGGUGAAGGCCUUUUUAACUGCUGGUCACCGGGUAGACAUUCCUUGC
Molecule: microRNA precursor, 75 nt
Filed under: Echinococcus multilocularis
Lineage: Eukaryota; Metazoa; Platyhelminthes; Cestoda; Cyclophyllidea; Taeniidae
Description: microRNA emu-mir-36a precursor
Gene: emu-mir-36a
Source: miRBase by way of RNAcentral